Molecule: transfer RNA, 63 nt
Filed under: Phyllidiopsis krempfi
Lineage: Eukaryota; Metazoa; Mollusca; Gastropoda; Nudibranchia; Phyllidiidae
Description: tRNA-Gly
Source: RNAcentral
CUUUAGUAAGUAUUAUGUACAUUUGCCUUCCAAGCAAAAAGACUAGUUUAUUUAGACUAAAGA